GUAGACUAACAGUGUUGACGCCACGUUACAGGCGGACUAACAGUGUUGACGACACGUUACAGGCAGACUAACAGUGUUGGGGAAGUUACAGGUAGACUAACAGUGUUGACGCCACGUUACAGGUGGACUAACAGUGUUGACGCCACAUUACAGGUAGACUAACAGUGUUGGGGAAGUUACAGGUAGACUAACAGUGUUGACGCCACGUUACAGGUGGACUAACAGUGUUGGGGAAGUUACAGGUGGACUAACAGUGUUGGCGUCACAUUACAGGUAGACUAACAGUGUUGACGCCACGUUACAGGUGGACUAACAGUGUUGGGGAAGUUACAGGUAGACUAACAGUGUUGGGGAAGUUACAGGUAGACUAACAGUGUUGGGGAAGUUACAGGUAGACUAACAGUGUUGGGGAAGUUACAGGUAGACUAACAGUGUUGGGGAAGUUACAGGUGGACUAACAGUGUUGGGGAAGUUACAGGUGGACUAACAGUGUUGACGUCACGUUACAGGUGGACUAACAGUGUUGACGCCACGUUACAGGUAGACUAACAGUGUUGACGCCACGUUACAGGUAGACUAACAGUGUUGACGCCACGUUACAGGUGGACUAACAGUGUUGACGCCACGUUACAGGUGGACUAACACUGUUGGGGAAGUUACAGGUAGACUAACAGUGUUGACGCC
RNAcentral lists this long non-coding RNA (684 nucleotides) under Salmo salar (Atlantic salmon). Its description in RNAcentral is "lncRNA (ENSSSAG00000097713.1, ENSSSAG00000116384.1)". The record is from RNAcentral. Lineage: Eukaryota; Metazoa; Chordata; Actinopteri; Salmoniformes; Salmonidae.